UGAGGAAUAUUGGUCAAUGGGCGAGAGCCUGAACCAGCCAAGUAGCGUGAAGGAUGACUGCCCUAUGGGUUGUAAACUUCUUUUAUAAAGGAAUAAAGUCGGGUAUGGAUACCCGUUUGCAUGUACUUUAUGAAUAAGGAUCGGCUAACUCCGUGCCAGCAGCCGCGGUAAUACGGAGGAUCCGAGCGUUAUCCGGAUUUAUUGGGUUUAAAGGGAGCGUAGAUGGAUGUUUAAGUCAGUUGUGAAAGUUUGCGGCUCAACCGUAAAAUUGCAGUUGAUACUGGAUAUCUUGAGUGCAGUUGAGGCAGGCGGAAUUCGUGGUGUAGCGGUGAAAUGCUUAGAUAUCACGAAGAACUCCGAUUGCGAAGGCAGCCUGCUAAGCUGCAACUGACAUUGAGGCUCGAAAGUGUGGGUAUCAAACAGGAUUAGAUACCCUGGUAGUCCACACGGUAAACGAUGAAUACUCGCUGUUUGCGAUAUACGGCAAGCGGCCAAGCGAAAGCGUUAAGUAUUCCACCUGGGGAGUACGCCGGCAACGGUGAAACUCAAAGGAAUUGACGGGGGCCCGCACAAGCGGAGGAACAUGUGGUUUAAUUCGAUGAUACGCGAGGAACCUUACCCGGGCUUAAAUUGCAGAUGAAUUACGGUGAAAGCCGUAAGCCGCAAGGCAUCUGUGAAGGUGCUGCAUGGUUGUCGUCAGCUCGUGCCGUGAGGUGUCGGCUUAAGUGCCAUAACGAGCGCAACCCUUGUUGUCAGUUACUAACAGGUUCUGCUGAGGACUCUGACAAGACUGCCAUCGUAAGAUGUGAGGAAGGUGGGGAUGACGUCAAAUCAGCACGGCCCUUACGUCCGGGGCUACACACGUGUUACAAUGGGGGGUACAGAGGGCCGCUACCACGCGAGUGGAUGCCAAUCCCCAAAACCUCUCUCAGUUCGGACUGGAGUCUGCAACCCGACUCCACGAAGCUGGAUUCGCUAGUAAUCGCGCAUCAGCCACGGCGCGGUGAAUACGUUCCC
RNAcentral lists this ribosomal RNA (1017 nucleotides) under uncultured bacterium. RNAcentral describes it as "bacterial SSU rRNA". It matches the Rfam family "Bacterial small subunit ribosomal RNA", at positions 355 to 1375 of the family's 1533-position model. The record is from RNAcentral.